CGAGAGUGAAAACUCCCUAAACCAACUGUUUAUCUACCUGUAUUCGUUGCUUCGGCAGGCGGCCCCCGGGGGGGUUUGUACCUGAGAAAGGCGCCUGCCGAAGGCACCCCAGAACUCUUGCUGUCAGUUGUCAUCUGAGCUAUAAAACAAAAUGAAUCA
RNAcentral lists this unclassified non-coding RNA (159 nucleotides) under uncultured Cephalothecaceae. Its description in RNAcentral is "sequence contains ITS1". The record is from RNAcentral. Lineage: Eukaryota; Fungi; Ascomycota; Sordariomycetes; Sordariales.